UACAGAGGGUGCGAGCGUUAAUCGGAGUUACUGGGCGUAAAGGGCGCGUAGGCGGUUAUAUGUGUGUGAUGUGAAAGCCUUGGGCUUAACCUGGGAAGUGCAUCGCGAACUAUAUGACUGGAGUAUAUGAGAGGGUGGUGGAAUUUCCGGUGUAGCGGUGAAAUGCGUAGAGAUCGGAAGGAACGUCAAUGGCGAAGGCAGCCACCUGGCAUAAUACUGACGCUGAAGCGCGAAAGCGUGGGGAGCGAACAGGAUUAGAUACCCCUGUAGU
RNAcentral lists this ribosomal RNA (271 nucleotides) under uncultured bacterium. RNAcentral's name for it is "partial 16S ribosomal RNA". It matches the Rfam family "Bacterial small subunit ribosomal RNA", at positions 524 to 794 of the family's 1533-position model. The record is from RNAcentral.